Molecule: ribosomal RNA, 506 nt
Filed under: uncultured Chryseobacterium sp.
Lineage: Bacteria; Pseudomonadati; Bacteroidota; Flavobacteriia; Flavobacteriales; Weeksellaceae
Description: partial 16S ribosomal RNA
Source: RNAcentral
CACGGAGUUAGCCGGUGCUUAUUCGUAUAGUACCUUCAGCUACCCUCACGAGGGUAGGUUUAUCCCUAUACAAAAGAAGUUUACAACCCAUAGGGCCGUCGUCCUUCACGCGGGAUGGCUGGAUCAGGCUCUCACCCAUUGUCCAAUAUUCCUCACUUCUGCCUCCCGUAGGAGUCUGGUCCGUGUCUCAGUACCAGUGUGGGGGAUCACCCUCUCAGGCCCCCUAAAGAUCGUAGACUUGGUGAGCCGUUACCUCACCAACUAUCUAAUCUUGCGCGUGCCCAUCUCUAUCCACCGGAGUUUUCAAUACCGAAUGAUGCCAUCCAGUAUAUUAUGGGGUAUUAAUCUUCCUUCGAAAGGCUAUCCCCAGAUAAAGCAGGUUGCACACGUGUUCCGCACCGUACGCCGCUCUCAAGAUCCCGAAAGAUCUCACCGCUCGGCUUGCAUGUGUUAGCCUCCGCUAGCGUUCACUCUGAGCCAGGAUACAAACUCUCUAGAGACUACGG